This 1081-nucleotide long non-coding RNA is filed under the name Vitis vinifera (wine grape). RNAcentral's name for it is "long non-coding RNA (VVIN_LNC000579)". The record is from RNAcentral. Lineage: Eukaryota; Viridiplantae; Streptophyta; Magnoliopsida; Vitales; Vitaceae.
UCGUAUUUUGCUCUUGUUCAUUGAUUUCAAAACUAGCAUAAUGUUUUAUCAUCCAAAGUUUAAAAUCCAAAAUUCCCUAUUCUCUUGAUCUAUUAACAACUAUUGUCUUGGUGUUGAUAAAAAAUAGCAUAGGUUUUCAUCAUUAAUGGUUUGAAAUCCAAAUGCCCCAAUUCCCUAACAUGUUAAAAACUAUCCUCUUUGUGUUACAAUCUAUAGGGGAGAACACAUCUCUUGAAGGAGUUCAAGAACAUCACAAGCAUCGUAUUAUGCUCUUGCUCAUUGAUUUCAAAACUAGCAUAGUGUUUUAUCAUUCAAGGUUUAAAAUCCAAAAUUCCCUAUUCUCUCAACUAUUAAAUACUAUUGUCUUGGUGUUGAUAAAAAAUAGCAUAGGUUUUCAUCAUUAAAGGAUUGAAAUCCAAGUGCACCAAUUCUCUAACAUGUUAAAUCAUCAUCUUUGUGUUACAGUUUCUAGGGGAGAACAUGUCUCUUGAGGAGUUCAAGGAGGUUGUGGUUGCCUCAUAGAAAUUUGAGAUGUAUCCACUAAAGUGUAGGUUGAGAGAAGAUUCACAACUUCGUCAGGGGUGGCCAAGUGAUUUUGGUAGUCAAAUGCAAGAAUCGUGAAAUGAGCCAAGGAUUAGAUUAUGAAGUAGAGUUGUUUAGUGAAUUUGCAUCACAAGGGUGGUUUCCACAUAAAUCACAUGUUUAUUUUAUGUGAUUGUAUUGCAAUCGCCCUCAAUAAAAUGAAAUGAUUAAUUAAAAGCUAAAAAUAUUAAUAUUUGUUGAACUAUCAAUUUUUCUAAAAGCUUAAACUUGUAGGAUUUGAGCUCACAAUGUAUAUCAUGCACUCUAACACCCUCCCUCACCUGUAACCUCCAUUUUUGGGCUUACAACCUUAACAAAUUGGGUAAAUGUACAUACAGUGGUGAGGGUCAAACACUUAACCUCCCACUAAACAAGGCUCUACUACCAUGUUAAACCACUAAUUUUCCUAAAAGUUUAAGUUUGUAGGAUUUGGGCUCACAACGUAUAUCAUGCAGUCUAAUACCCUCCCUCACGUGUAGCCUCCAUUUUUGGGCUUACA